CAGUCGCCGCGGUAAUACGAAGGGUGCAAGCGUCACUCGGAAUUACUGUGCGUAAAGCGUGCGUAGGUGGUGGUUUAAGUCCGUUGUGAAAGCCCUGGGCUCAACCAGGGAAUUGCAGUGGAUACUGGGUCACUAGAGUGUGGUAGAGGAUAGUGGAAUUUCCGGUGUAGCAGUGAAAUGCGUAGAGAUCGGAAGGAACAUCUGUGGCGAAGGCGACUAUCUGGGCCAACACUGACACUGUGGCACGAAAGCGUGGGGAGCAAACAGGAUUAGAUACCCCCGUAGUCCCUGUCUCUUAUAC
This 301-nucleotide ribosomal RNA is filed under the name uncultured bacterium. RNAcentral's name for it is "partial 16S ribosomal RNA". It matches the Rfam family "Bacterial small subunit ribosomal RNA", at positions 509 to 807 of the family's 1533-position model. The record is from RNAcentral.